CUUCUUCUCCUCCUUCUUCUCCUUCUUCUUAUCCUUCUUCUUUUCUUCUUCUUCUCCUCUUCCUUCUCCUUCUCCUCCUCCUUCUCCUCCUCCUCCUCCUUCUUCUUCUUCUUCUUCUUCUUCUUAUUCUUCUUCUCCUUCUUCUUCUCUUCUUGCUUCUUCUCUUUCUUCUUCUACGUAGGUUAUUUUCCCCCAACAAAGACAUACUUAGCUAAUUAUCCUCCAAAAUGAAAUAAUUAGCAUAGUUCGGUAAAAACAUCAUAAGAACCUUGGUUAGCUCAUUAAAAUGAGUAAUUUAGCUCCAAAAUGACAUAAUAACGUCAAAAAGGAUUAAUAAUCAUAGUUGGC
RNAcentral lists this long non-coding RNA (348 nucleotides) under Hordeum vulgare. RNAcentral's name for it is "long non-coding RNA (HVUL_LNC018434)". The record is from RNAcentral. Lineage: Eukaryota; Viridiplantae; Streptophyta; Magnoliopsida; Poales; Poaceae.